UUGAAAAUUUUCUGCAACAACUUUUUCUCAUUACGUUCCUGGUCGACUGUGCACCAAGCACAAACAUCGUAAUGAUCAACAAUGGACUUAUGAUUAUACACUAUGUAAGCCAAAGUAGUUUUUCCAAGCCCAGGCAUGCCGACUAUGGAAAUGACAUCUAUCUCAGCUGAUCCGCUGGUGAGCUUCCUAAUUAUCCACUCUGUCUCCUCCUCAAAACCUACAAUUAUUUUGCCAACUGUACUCGAUGAGUUUCUUUCAACCGGCUUGUUAGGAGCGUUUGCAACAAUUAUACCGCUGCUCUUGGGGAUCUUUUCUUGUACCUCUUUUUUGACAAGCUUGAUCUUUUCUACAGUAUCAGGAAGUAUGAAGAUAAGCUGCAAUAGACCAUGAUCUCGCGCAAGAAUUGAGUUAAAGGCAUUUUGCGCCUCAUAUGACACAUCCAGAACAUGAGCCCAAAGAUCUUUAUGCAACUCUUGCUCAACAUACCCGAACAACGAUCUUAUGAUUUCCAGGUCUUCUUUCACCCGCCCGAUUUCUUCUUUUAUCAAAUAAACUGGAUAAGCAUUGGAAUUGACCAAG
RNAcentral lists this unclassified non-coding RNA (579 nucleotides) under Hevea brasiliensis (rubber tree). Lineage: Eukaryota; Viridiplantae; Streptophyta; Magnoliopsida; Malpighiales; Euphorbiaceae. The record is from RNAcentral.